GACGAACGCUGGCGGCGUGCUUAACACAUGCAAGUCGAACGGAAAGGCCCUGUCCUUGUGGGGUGCUCGAGUGGCGAACGGGUGAGUAACACGUGAGUAACCUGCCCUUGCCUUUGGGAUAACUUCAGGAAACUGGGGCUAAUACAGGAUAGGAGAUUCUGCUGCAUGGUGGGGGUUGGAAAGUUUCGGCGGUUGGGGAUGGACUCGCGGCUUAUCAGCUUGUUGGUGGGGUAGUGGCGUACGAAGGCUUUGACGGGUAGCCGGCCUGAGAGGGUGGCCGGCCACAUUGGGACUGAGAUGCGGGCCAGACGCCUACGGGAGGCAGCAGUGGGGAAUAUUGCACAAUGGGCAGAAGCCUGAUGCGACAACGCCGCGUGCGGGAUGACGGCCUUCCGGUUGUAAACCGCUUUCGCCUGUGACGUAGCGGGAGUGACGGUAAUGGGUAAAGAAGCACCGGCUAACUACGUG
Molecule: ribosomal RNA, 468 nt
Filed under: uncultured bacterium
Lineage: Bacteria
Description: partial 16S ribosomal RNA
Rfam family: Bacterial small subunit ribosomal RNA
Source: RNAcentral